AGACCACUAUGCUCAUCCAAGCAGUUCCGUCAUCCACCAUUCACAUCCUCAAGUCCGCCCAACCUUUUGAUGAAAAACAUUGAUACCAUCUCCGACAAGAUUUCAGCCGGCCACUACCUUAAUGAGAAAGAGAGAAGCAAAAGAAUCGAAAUACUACAUGAAGUUGUUUCCAGAGAAACUCUCAUCGUUGUAGAUAACUCGAUUUCUCGCUUCCAGUUACAACCAAUUUAUUUUUUGUUGCUAUAUCAAUCUGGGCAUGUAAUUGUUGUUGUAUGUUGUUAUCUUACUUGGAUCUUUCAUUUAUUCUGCAAAGCUUGCUUGAAUAGAAGAGAUUUAGAAACAGAGAGAAUAAGAGAGGAAGAAGAAAUGAAAAAGUGA
Non-coding RNA from Vicia faba (fava bean), 378 nucleotides. The record is from the annotation of a GenBank genome assembly. NCBI's taxonomy places the organism in Eukaryota, Viridiplantae, Streptophyta, Magnoliopsida, Fabales, Fabaceae.